GAGUUUGAUCUUGGCUCAGGAUGAACGCUGGCGGCGUGCUUAACACAUGCAAGUCGAACGAAGAUGCCGGAGUGCUUGCACUUUGGCAGACUGAGUGGCGGACGGGUGAGUAACGCGUGGGUAACCUGCCUUAUACAGGGGGAUAACAGUUGGAAACGACUGCUAAUACCGCAUAAGCGCACGGUAUCGCAUGAUACAGUGUGAAAAACUCCGGUGGUAUAAGAUGGACCCGCGUCUGAUUAGCUUGUUGGUGAGGUAACGGCCCACCAAGGCGACGAUCAGUAGCCGGCCUGAGAGGGUGAACGGCCACAUUGGGACUGAGACACGGCCCAAACUCCUACGGGAGGCAGCAGUGGGGAAUAUUGCACAAUGGGGGAAACCCUGAUGCAGCGACGCCGCGUGAGUGAUGAAGUAUUUCGGUAUGUAAAACUCUAUCAGCAGGGAAGAUAAUGACGGUACCUGACUAAGAAGCACCGGCUAAAUACGU
Molecule: ribosomal RNA, 487 nt
Filed under: uncultured bacterium
Lineage: Bacteria
Description: bacterial SSU rRNA
Rfam family: Bacterial small subunit ribosomal RNA
Source: RNAcentral